This 380-nucleotide ribosomal RNA is filed under the name uncultured eukaryote. Its description in RNAcentral is "partial 18S ribosomal RNA". It matches the Rfam family "Eukaryotic small subunit ribosomal RNA", at positions 592 to 976 of the family's 1831-position model. The record is from RNAcentral.
CAAUAGCGUAUAUUAAAGUUGUUGCAGUUAAAAAGCUCGUAGUUGGAUUUGUGGCGUACGGUGUGUUCCGGGCACUUGUUGUCUGAGUAACCUGCUGUUGCCAUCCUUGGGUGGAACCUGUGUGGCAUUAGGUUGUCGUGCAGGGGAUGCCCAUCAUUUACUGUGAAAAAAUUAGAGUGUUCAAAGCAGGCUUAUGCCGUUGAAUAUAUUAGCAUGGAAUAAUGAGAUAGGACUUUUUUGCUAUUUUGUUGGUUUGCGCAAGAAGGUAAUGAUUAAUAGGGACAGUUGGGGGUAUUCGUAUUCCAUUGUCAGAGGUGAAAUUCUUGGAUUUUUGGAAGACGAACUACUGCGAAAGCAUUUACCAAGGAUGUUUUCGUUAA